AAUAACUUACUGUCAACUUCCCUUUUUGCCAAUCGCCGACAUUUUCUUUUUACAAACAGACGCGUGUAAAAAAGUUCGAGGGACGGAAGAUUCCCGGAUCCCGAAAACCGGGAUUCUUGCCGCGGGUGGUGGAGCACGGUUGGGAUCAUAUUCGCUUAUUCGGAACUAAUUUGCCUGCUGGAGGCGGCUCAAUCCGAUGUUCAAAAACCUUCAUCGGAACUUCCAAUUAUCAAACUGUCGCCACUCAGUCAUGUUACCCAGCGGCCUAUACAGUACGGAUCAUGAUCAAAUUGGAGAGUUCGGAUCAAACUGAAAAGUCCGGAUCAAACUGAUGCUCAACCAUCCGGAAUGGAUGUCGAGGGGAGGGAGCUGAGUUGCAGAAAAUAUCCCGUCAAAUGGUUCAUUGGCAUAUGUCACACCCGGCCAACAUUAUAAUCUCUGCAACAGAGCCGGAGGAUUGUUUUUAACAUAAGGCAAAAAUCUCCAAUGCAUCAUUAGUGUCUACCGGAUUCGAUGGACGAUACGGAAGCAGCAACAGGACCAAA
Molecule: long non-coding RNA, 545 nt
Organism: Uranotaenia lowii
Lineage: Eukaryota; Metazoa; Arthropoda; Insecta; Diptera; Culicidae
Exons: 3
Source: RefSeq, a predicted model, not a curated record